This 2942-nucleotide long non-coding RNA is filed under the name Homo sapiens (human). RNAcentral describes it as "HSALNT0380990". The record is from RNAcentral. Lineage: Eukaryota; Metazoa; Chordata; Mammalia; Primates; Hominidae.
ACUCCUCCUGUACUCAGGCCCCAGCUCCUCUGUUCUGCCCAGUGGCCUGGCGCAGGAAAGGUGACCCAGUAGUUCAGCCUGUCCCAGCUGCCUGCCCCAGCACCAUCCCAGACCCCUUUCCCUGGGGCCCACCUUGGCCCUGAGGAAGGCCAGAGCUCGGCUGCUGUUCUCCAGGAAGUGCACACGCAGGCGGCCCCGGCUCGGGGGUGGCAGGGCCUCCCCUGAGAUGAGCUCCAGCAGCCGCAGGAGGUGGAUGCCGUCAGCCAGCUCUGUGUACAGGUUCCGGAUCUUGAUGCCCGCCUGGGGAGGGGACAGGGGUAAGUAUGGGGUCAGCCCAGCCUCACCUGUCCUCCCAUCCUGGGACCUGAGAGGUACGACCCAGAGCAGCUGCUUUGGAAGAAGGAGCUCUGGCCUCAGCUUGGCCUCAGGCAGAUGACCCCACAGCUCACCCCGGAGGCCCACUGGCCAGAGCUGGGGGCCUGGUAUGGGUGGGCUGUGGGUCACAGCUGGCUAUACUCACCUGGCCGCACUGGAAGACGUUAUUGAUCCACUUGGUGAAAGUCUUCUCCUGCAUCUGCAUGUGCCGGGCCUGUAGCUUGCGAAUGUGGCCCGUCUCGUACUGAGAGUCCAUGGUGAGACUUGGACUGGGCGGGACCCGGAGUUCUGUGCUGGGCCUCCUGCUGCGGUGCCCUGCAGCCCCGAGGAGCUCCCGGGGACUGUGGGGCUGACCAGCCAUCAGCCCUGCAGACUUUGGGGAUGAGGAGCUGCUGGAUGGCUCCCUAAACCUGGAGGGCAUGCAGAUUAGGGGAUGAUGUGAAUGGAGAUGGCCCCUCUACCAGGGGCCUGGGGUCCCGCCUUGCCAGACUGUCCUCACAUUUCAUGGGGGUUGCAGCUUGGAGCCCAGCCAGGUAAGGGCCAGUGCUUCUGGUCCCCUGUGCUUGAAUGGCCCAGGGCCCCCUUUGCCCCACCCCACCUUCCAGAUUCUUCUUCUCAGAGCCCCUGCUGCCAGGUCCCUCCACCACAGUGACUGGGACAGGUGGAAGGAAGACAGGAAACUGCUUACCUUGGUGAUGCCUGGGUCCCACAGAGACGGCUCUGCUGGACGGAUGGAGAUGGUAGAUAGCAGGGGCUGCUUACCUUGGUGAUGCCUGGGUUCCACAGAGGCGGCCCAGCUGGACGGAUGGAGAUGGCAGAUAGCAGGGGCUGUGGAGGGAGGGAGAGGGACAUCAGGAGAGGCCAAGGCUGGAGCAGGGCUGCACCACAGCCCUCCCCUUGAGCCAGCGUGCUGGGGUGACGGCACACAGGCGGCAUUGUCCUCCCACCUGCCACAGGGCGUGGCCCAGACAGGGAGGGGGUGGUUCAGGAAUGCUCCAGGGCCAUUGCCAGAUGAUGUCCUCCUUCAUCAUCCUCCCUUCCCCGCCAGCAACUUCUCCAACUCCAGGUGGGGGUCCUGGCUCCCAGGACGCAGAGGCCCAUGGAGCGGCCCUGCCACCGCAUGGGGUGCUGCAGUCUGCGUAGGAGGUACCAAAGGGCAGAGCCUCUGUGGGAAGCCUGUGGACGCACUUCCCAAUCUGAGACUGCCCUCUGUACCCUCUUGGGGCCUCUCUGUGAGCACCCAGGGCGAGGGGAUGAGGGAGCGUCCUGGGCCGUGGUCUUCUCAUUCACCCCCAGGGAACAGCCCAUAGACUGAGGGCCUCACAGACCCUGGGCUUGGCUUUCCAGGCCCUGCCAGAGUGCAGCCUGCCUAGCCCGGGGCUGAAGGGUAGGCUCCCUGGAGGAAGGGGUGACCUGGAACUGCGAGGGCUGUGGAGUCUCCUCCAAAAUUAGAGACACGGUGUUAACUCUGGGCUCCACAGAGCUGGCCGUGGCCCGGGGCUCGGAGGCAGGGGUGCAGAGGGAGCUGGUGGGCGCCCAUCCCUUCCUCCCCGAGCAGCCGUGGACUACAUGCCAGAGUGAAGGCGAGUUCUAAUUCUGGGGGUCUCACCCGCCUCUGGCUAAACUCAGGGUAGCAGUGUGGGCUGGGGUGUGUGUGUGUGGGUGUCUUCCAGCGGCCCUGGAGCCUCUGAAGCGACAGCCCGCUCCUCAGGGAGGCGCUCCUGGCAGCCACAGCCCACAGCAGGACAGCCGCUCAGCGCGCCCUUGAGAGCUGGGCUAGGGAUGAGUCACACUUGAACCGCCUGGGCCCACUGCAGGCAGUCAGGGGUGACGCUGAGAGGUGCCGUGGUCUCGGGUGGGGUGCGGCUUCCUGCGUCUGAGAGACGCUUCCUCUCCUGCUGUCCUCUCCCUGCCAGGCCCCUUCUGCAGCGGCUGGCUUCCAGACACCCUGCGUCCCUCCCUUGCUCGCAGCAGUUGCUGUGGCGGUCCUCCCGUGCACCCCCCCUUCUGCCCUCACUGCCCCUGGGGGUCCUCAUCACGGACCCCCUAACUCGGCAUCCUGGACACCACCACCCCGCACCUUUCCACAGUGCAGCUCUGCUCGUGCCUGUGAAGCCUCCCACAGCCUGGGAAGGAAAAUCCAGACUUGCCAGACCUUGCCUCAGCCAGGCCUUGGAAGCCUGCCAGCUUACCUAACCAGUAAGACCCUCAGCCCAUGGAGUCCUGUGUGAUGUUGUGAGCGUGGGAGGACAGACUGAACUGCUCGGCCCGUGGAGUCCUGUGUGAUGUUGUGAGCGGGGAGGACAGACUGAACUGCGUGGUGCUUCGCACAUAGACCUCAACAGGGAUUGGCAUUUUGAAGCUGUUGGCGGGGGCUGUGGACUGCUUUUCUUCCUUUCUAGCUCAACGGCAGCUAAAGCCACUGCAUACAAUGCAAGGACUGGCUCCUGUUUGGCCACGACUGAUUGCAGCCCCUGGUGAAAUGAGAACCCUGUGGGUCGGAACAAAGUUUGGAUUAUUUAUGUUGCAAGUAACUAAAAUCUCAAGUGAAACUGGUUUAAACAUUA